This 750-nucleotide ribosomal RNA is filed under the name uncultured bacterium. RNAcentral's name for it is "bacterial SSU rRNA". It matches the Rfam family "Bacterial small subunit ribosomal RNA", at positions 8 to 747 of the family's 1533-position model. The record is from RNAcentral.
AGAGUUUGAUCCUGGCUCAGAGUGAACGCUGGCGGUAGGCCUAACACAUGCAAGUCGAACGGCAGCACAGUAAGAGCUUGCUCUUACGGGUGGCGAGUGGCGGACGGGUGAGGAAUACAUCGGAAUCUACUUUUUCGUGGGGGAUAACGUAGGGAAACUUACGCUAAUACCGCAUACGACCUACGGGUGAAAGCAGGGGAUCUUCGGACCUUGCGCGAUUGAAUGAGCCGAUGUCGGAUUAGCUAGUUGGCGGGGUAAAGGCCCACCAAGGCGACGAUCCGUAGCUGGUCUGAGAGGAUGAUCAGCCACACUGGAACUGAGACACGGUCCAGACUCCUACGGGAGGCAGCAGUGGGGAAUAUUGGACAAUGGGCGCAAGCCUGAUCCAGCCAUACCGCGUGGGUGAAGAAGGCCUUCGGGUUGUAAAGCCCUUUUGUUGGGAAAGAAAUCCAGCUGGUUAAUACCCGGUUGGGAUGACGGUACCCAAAGAAUAAGCACCGGCUAACUUCGUGCCAGCAGCCGCGGUAAUACGAAGGGUGCAAGCGUUACUCGGAAUUACUGGGCGUAAAGCGUGCGUAGGUGGUUGUUUAAGUCUGUUGUGAAAGCCCUGGGCUCAACCUGGGAACUGCAGUGGAAACUGGACGACUAGAGUGUGGUAGAGGGUAGCGGAAUUCCUGGUGUAGCAGUGAAAUGCGUAGAGAUCAGAGGAACAUCCAUGGCGAAGCAGCUACCUGGACCAACACUGACACU